Molecule: ribosomal RNA, 425 nt
Filed under: uncultured bacterium
Lineage: Bacteria
Description: partial 16S ribosomal RNA
Rfam family: Bacterial small subunit ribosomal RNA
Source: RNAcentral
GUGGGGAAUAUUGGACAAUGGGCGCAAGCCUGAUCCAGCCAUGCCGCGUGAGUGAUGAAGGCCCUAGGGUUGUAAAGCUCUUUCACCGGUGAAGAUAAUGACGGUAACCGGAGAAGAAGCCCCGGCUAACUUCGUGCCAGCAGCCGCGGUAAUACGAAGGGGGCUAGCGUUGUUCGGAAUUACUGGGCGUAAAGCGCACGUAGGAGGACAUUUAAGUCAGGGGUGAAAUCCCGGGGCUCAACCCCGGAACUGCCUUUGAUACUGGGUGUCUGGAGUAUGGAAGAGGUAAGUGGAAUUCCGAGUGUAGAGGUGAAAUUCGUAGAUAUUCGGAGGAACACCAGUGGCGAAGGCGGCUUACUGGUCCAUUACUGACGCUGAGGUGCGAAAGCGUGGGGAGCAAACAGGAUUAGAAACCCGGGUAGUCC